This 417-nucleotide transfer-messenger RNA is filed under the name Anaerolineae. RNAcentral describes it as "GCA-2746795 sp002746795 Standard tmRNA". It matches the Rfam family "transfer-messenger RNA". Rfam says of the family: Bacterial tmRNA, also known as 10Sa RNA or SsrA, is named for its dual tRNA and mRNA-like properties. Its role is to liberate the mRNA from a stalled ribosome. Lineage: Bacteria; Bacillati; Chloroflexota. The record is from RNAcentral. RNAcentral also lists the same sequence under 1 other name.
GGGGAUGACAGGCUUCGACGGGGAAGGCUGGUCCUGGACUGCAAGCCGAGCACGCUUUACAACUCGUAAAACUGGAAGCAAACAAUUAAGUGCCAAUAAUAACGCACGCUCCUAUAACGCUCUUCCUCUCGCUGCAUAAGCCUGAGAAAACGUUAUGAUGAGUCCAUAGACAGGACUCCCGUCUACCCUGAGCUUUCGUCGGCAGCGACGGUUUGUAGGCGACAUGAACGCUCGACGUGCGCCACUUUGACACCGAUAAAAGUGGUUAAGAGAUCCUUUCGGGGAUCAUCGGCUCGCUGAUGGCUGACCCAGUUGAUCGGGGCGCCCAUCAGUAAAAUGUAAAUAGAUUGACUAAGCUUGUAGACGUUCAGAGGCUGAAUUUUUCGGACGCGGGUUCGAUUCCCGCCAUCUCCACAC